Molecule: long non-coding RNA, 594 nt
Organism: Colletes gigas
Lineage: Eukaryota; Metazoa; Arthropoda; Insecta; Hymenoptera; Colletidae
Exons: 3
Source: RefSeq, a predicted model, not a curated record
UAGCGAUUCACAUAAAACGUGAUAGCGCGAGAACAACUGCAUGUUAAGUAAGAAUUCGAUACGAGAAAUCAUGAAUCACAACGUGAAGAUUCUCUUUCUAUUUUCUCUAAUUUUCAUGUUUGGAUACUUUGUGACACCCUCGGAAGGAAGGGAUUCACCAAGAUGCGGCACAUUUCCGAAAGAACUUUGCGGUUCUCCAUUGAUGGAAGAAGUCUGUCCGAAUAUGUGUCGCAGAGUGAUGAGUGGAAGAGGAAAAUAAAUUGCUACGGCACAAGGAGUCAAGGAUUUGAUGCAGAUUUUACACAAACUUCUAAAUAGAUUAGAAAUAUGUAAUUCUUUUAUCGAAUAACAAGUGUACGUAAAGAAUUUUUAAAAUAUAUCCACUAUAAACUUCCAAUAUACAAAGUUUUUCAUUUUAUGAACCCAUAAGCUUGCAACACGUUUAAAACGAAAACUUGAUUUUACUGUUAAGAUAGUCACGCAAGUAUUCACAGUACAAUAUACGGCAGCAGACAUUUUAUAUAAAAAGUAGAAGAGUGUAUUGAUAAUAGACACGCCAAGCAGUCGACACGAAGCAACAUUAUUCAAAGUGUC